UUACAGGAAGAAGAAGAAGAAGAAGAAGAAGAAGAAGAGGGGAAAAAAAAAAAAAAGCUCCAGCAGGAGGAAGAAAAAGAAGAAAAAGAAAAAGAGAAAAAAAAAUUGCUCCUGCAGGAAGAAGAAGAAAAAGAAGAGCCCGCCUGGCGAUGCUCCGGCCGUCGCUUUUUUUUUUCGGCGAAAAAAAAAAAAAGAACGAGAGAACGAAGAGGAGAGAGAAAGAGGAAAGAGAAAAAGUAAUAAGGAUAUUUUGGUCAGUUUGCUGAAAAAACGGACCGAAUUUGCAAAAACGAAAAAGGUGGUCCGGUUUUGCAAAAGCCCAAAAUAAGUGGAUUUUUUAUGCAAAUUGGCCAUUUUUUUUCUAGAAAGAAAAAUUGAGCGAGUAAAAGCGAGGGACCAUGAUUGAGAUAUAGUUGCCAAAAAUAAAGGUAAACUUCAAUAUGCCACCUCUGUGGUUUUGUAUUUUCGCACUUUAGUGUCUUGUGGCUUAAAGUGUAUCAAACUAAUGUCCUGUGGUUUCAUUUUUAUCUUUUCGUCAGCUUUUUCGUUAAUAUUUCGUCAAAUUAUAUACAAAAAAAACUUCAGAUACUCUAUCUAGAUCUAUUAAAUAUUCACUUUAGUAUUUUUUAGUUUUAACUUUGUUACUGAUUUAACGAGAAAAAUUAGUGGAAUCGAUAAUAAAAAGAUAAAAAUAAAAUCGCAUGGUACUAAACUAAAUUGAUACAUUUUAAAGCACAGGGUACUAAAGUGCGAAAGUGUGAAACCACAUGGAUAAUUUUUGAAGUUUUUUCUAAAAAUAAAAAGGUAGGGACUAAAAUAAAAAUCUGGUAGAAGUUGGGGACCAAUGACACAAUUAACCUGAUUUUUAUGGGGUCCCACCGUCCCACGUGGUAGGAGGGACAAGUUGCCGCGGCGCGCCAAAAGCAGUACUGCACACUGACCCAUGUGUCUGGAACCAAAAUAAAUGCCUAGAAAAUAAAAAUUCUAGAAUGCCCCAGUUAUAUUGAUACUGAUAUGAUAUUUUUAAUUAAUUAAAUAAAUUUUUUAAAAUUAAUUUAUCAUAUUAUGAUUAUAAAAAAAAAUUUUAUUGUAUAUUUUUUUUUAAAGGAGAGGAUUGUCUUAUUAUUAUUAUUUUUUUUGAGAGAUAGGUAGCACGCUACCCGCUCCGUUUAUUUCAUUUAGAAAUAAACUUAGCAGGAAAUGUGAAUCAACGAGGAUUCGAACUUGGGACCUCGGGUACCAACCACUAAGCCCUUUGCCACUUGCUUUAGGGAUAGUCGGUGAUUGGCUUGUUAUUACUGAUGUGGUAUAAGUGUGAUACAGUAAACUUCCCUUUCAGUCACUCUCUCUCUCUCUCUCUCUCUCUCUCUCUCUCUCUCUAUAUAUAUAUAUAUAUAUAUAUAUAUAUAGUCCGGCUGAGAUGCUAUGAAUAGCACGAAGCACUUGAUGCUACCAAAUUUUUCGCCGUUAGAUCUACCCUUUUGAUCAUUUUCAUCCGUUAGAUCAUACUAUUCAACCAACCAACCACCCACUCAACCCUAAGGGGCCCACAUCAUCCUAACCGCAUAUCUCUUAAUCCAAUGGCCAAAAACUUGGUAGCACCAAUGACUUGGUGCUAUUAAUAGUAUAUUAGCCUAGUUCUAUAUAUAUAUAUAUAUAUAUAUAUAUAUAUAUAUAUAUAUAUAUAUAUAUAUAUAUAGAGUCCGGCUGGGGUACUAUCGAUAGCACCAGAGAUUUGGUGCUAUUGAGCUUUCCACCAUUAGAUUUAACCCUUUGAUUAAUUUUAUCCGUUAGAUUAUACUAUUCAACCAACCGCUCGCUCAAUCCUAGGGUACCCACAUCAUCCUAACCACACAUUUUUUAAUCCAAGAGUAGAAAACUUAAUAGCACCAAAUCAUUGGUGCUAUUAAUAGUAUUCUAGCCUAGUUCUAUAUAUAUAUAUAGAGUCCAGCUAUGGUGCUUGUAACUGUAAGUUUUUUACCGUUAGAUCUACUUCUCGAAUUAUUUUCAACUAUUAGAUUAUACUAUUCAACCAACCACCCACUCAACCUUAGGGGACCCACAUCAUCCUAACUACAUAUUUCUUAAUCCAAUAGCUAAAAAUCUAAAAGUAUAAAUAACUUAGUAUUUUUAAAAGUAUAGGAGCUCAAUUAUAUAUAUAUAUAUAUAUAUAUAUAUAUAUAUAUAUAUAUAUGAGUCUGGCCAUUAUAUUAUUGAUAGUACCAAGUCUUUGGCACUAUUGAGUUUUCUAUCGUUAGAUCUACCCUUUGAUCAUUUCCACCCGUUAGAUUAUACUAUUAAACCAACCAACCACUCAACCCUAGGGGACCACUAUUAUCCGAACCGCACAUCCUUUCAUCCAACGGCCAAAAACUCAAUAGUAUCAAUAGCUUGGUACUAUUGAUAGUAUAGUAACAUAAUUAUAUAUAUAUAUGUAUAUAUAUAUAUAUGUAUGUAUAUAUAUAUAUAUAUGUAUGUAUAUAUAUAUAUAUGUAUGUAUAUAUAUAUAUAUGUAUAUAUAUAUAUAUAU
This 2530-nucleotide long non-coding RNA is filed under the name Ananas comosus (pineapple). RNAcentral describes it as "long non-coding RNA (ACOM_LNC035264)". Lineage: Eukaryota; Viridiplantae; Streptophyta; Magnoliopsida; Poales; Bromeliaceae. The record is from RNAcentral.